CGAACGAACUCUGGUAUUGAUUGGUGCUUGCAUCAUGAUUUACAUUUGAGUGAGUGGCGAACUGGUGAGUAACACGUGGGAAACCUGCCCAGAAGCGGGGGAUAACACCUGGAAACAGAUGCUAAUACCGCAUAACAACUUGGACCGCAUGGUCCGAGCUUGAAAGAUGGCUUCGGCUAUCACUUUUGGAUGGUCCCGCGGCGUAUUAGCUAGAUGGUGGGGUAACGGCUCACCAUGGCAAUGAUACGUAGCCGACCUGAGAGGGUAAUCGGCCACAUUGGGACUGAGACACGGCCCAAACUCCUACGGGAGGCAGCAGUAGGGAAUCUUCCACAAUGGACGAAAGUCUGAUGGAGCAACGCCGCGUGAGUGAAGAAGGGUUUCGGCUCGUAAAACUCUGUUGUUAAAGAAGAACAUAUCUGAGAGUAACUGUUCAGGUAUUGACGGUAUUUAACCAGAAAGCCACGGCUAACUACGUGCCAGCAGCCGCGGUAAUACGUAGGUGGCAAGCGUUGUCCGGAUUUAUUGGGCGUAAAGCGAGCGCAGGCGGUUUUUUAAGUCUGAUGUGAAAGCCUUCGGCUCAACCGAAGAAGUGCAUCGGAAACUGGGAAACUUGAGUGCAGAAGAGGACAGUGGAACUCCAUGUGUAGCGGUGAAAUGCGUAGAUAUAUGGAAGAACACCAGUGGCGAAGGCGGCUGUCUGGUCUGUAACUGACGCUGAGGCUCGAAAGUAUGGGUAGCAAACAGGAUUAGAUACCCUGGUAGUCCAUACCGUAAACGAUGAAUGCUAAGUGUUGGAGGGUUUCCGCCCUUCAGUGCUGCAGCUAACGCAUUAAGCAUUCCGCCUGGGGAGUACGGCCGCAAGGCUGAAACUCAAAGGAAUUGACGGGGGCCCGCACAAGCGGUGGAGCAUGUGGUUUAAUUCGAAGCUACGCGAAGAACCUUACCAGGUCUUGACAUACUAUGCAAAUCUAAGAGAUUAGACGUUCCCUUCGGGGACAUGGAUACAGGUGGUGCAUGGUUGUCGUCAGCUCGUGUCGUGAGAUGUUGGGUUAAGUCCCGCAACGAGCGCAACCCUUAUUAUCAGUUGCCAGCAUUAAGUUGGGCACUCUGGUGAGACUGCCGGUGACAAACCGGAGGAAGGUGGGGAUGACGUCAAAUCAUCAUGCCCCUUAUGACCUGGGCUACACACGUGCUACAAUGGAUGGUACAACGAGUUGCGAACUCGCGAGAGUAAGCUAAUCUCUUAAAGCCAUUCUCAGUUCGGAUUGUAGGCUGCAACUCGCCUACAUGAAGUCGGAAUCGCUAGUAAUCGCGGAUCAGCAUGCCGCGGUGAAUACGUUCCCGGGCCUUGUACACACCGCCCGUCACACCAUGAGAGUUUGUAACACCCAAAGUCGGUGGGGUAACCU
RNAcentral lists this ribosomal RNA (1412 nucleotides) under Lactiplantibacillus plantarum. Its description in RNAcentral is "bacterial SSU rRNA". It matches the Rfam family "Bacterial small subunit ribosomal RNA", at positions 63 to 1441 of the family's 1533-position model. The record is from RNAcentral. Lineage: Bacteria; Bacillati; Bacillota; Bacilli; Lactobacillales; Lactobacillaceae.